CUUUCGUCAUUCCCAAACCCUAACUCAUUUUCACCCGACCUCCUCGUCUUCCUCCUCCGCCUCUGAGCUAGCCAUCUUGGGCACCUCCAUUCCCUUCAACUCUCUCAAGCUUGAUUCUCUAAUUGCAGGCGUCGGAGAACCCCAUGAGGGAAAUCAAGGUCCAAAAGCUCGUCCUCAACAUCUCUGUCGGCGAGAGCGGCGAUCGUCUCACCAAGGCCGCCAAGGUCUUUGGAGCAACUCACCAAGGCCGCCAAGAAUGAAAAACCCCCUAUUAAUUAGCUGUCAGUGUUCUAUACUUGUCUACUCUACUCAUCUUGAUCGCUCAGUCUCAGACUCUCUAUACGACUCCAAGUGAACAUGGGUUGUCUUGGAUUAAAUGAAUUCAUUUAUUGAGAAGCUGUUCAAACCAAUACAAGCGUCCCAAGGACAAGGUGCAGCAGGCCAAAAACAGCCACCUUCAAUUCCCGAGAUGGGUUCUACUUUUCAAGACCGAAAAAGGAAGCGCUUUGCAAUAGAUGGAGAGGAGGAAACAUUCAGUUUGCAGAAUCAGUUGAUUGAGGUCAUGGAAAGGAAUGGUAAAAUGCUGGCUGACUAUUUUGAGGCUCAGAAUUCUCAUUCGCAACUGGAUAGGGAGCAGAGGAAAAAACAUUCUGAUAGCUUAAUUGCUGUUCUUAACAAGCUUGCAGAUGCUUUCAUGAGAAUCGCCGAUAAGUUGUAGGGAAGGCAAUCAGAAAUCAGUGUACAUAAGAGAAGUCUCUUCAAGACUCGUAGAUGUUAGCGGCGCUGAGAAUUGGUGGAUCAAAUUUGAUCAUUUAUCUCGUGGGAGGGCACUGACAUGUUCUUCUACUUAUUUAUUUACUUUAAAUUUUUCUCCCGUCUUGUUGGUCUGUGCUACCUUUGUGGCAUAGUUCCACCAUCAAAUGCAUAGAAUCCAUACACAGAUAAUGUCUAGAAAUUUCAAAGGGUUAACACAUUUUGGCUGCUUUUUCUUAAAUGUUUAGAAUUUCAAAGAUUUAGUACAUUGUGAUGUUUUUCUUUCAUAUAUCCAGCUCUAAUGGAAUUUGAAUUCCCUGUCAAAUGUCUCGGUGACUGUACAGGUUCUUGAUAUCAAUAAGAAUGUUACAUUGUCAGUUACGUCUACUGCUGUUCCUAAUAAGUAGUGCAAAUGGAGGAGGUCCUGACUAUAAAGAACAGCUUGUCAGAAGGGCUGAGAGGGCUGGUUACAAGGCAAUAGUCCUUACUACUGACACUCCAAGGCUCGGGCGCAGGGACGCUGAUAUCAAGAACAGUGGGCGGUAAAGGAUCGGAAAUGGUAUACCCAACAACAACUUGACAAGGUGUGCAUUGAAGUAGCCGACUACUUACAGACUGCUGUAGAUUCUGACCAGUUUCUUGAUUUUGAGUUAGACCAGCUUUUGAUUAACUUUUUGUAUAGCAAUUAUGAACAAAAAUGAAUACUAAUUGCUAGGCUAGCCUUGUAGUAGGUGAGUUGGGGUUUUAUUUUGCCCAUUUUGUAAACUGUUUAGGAUGUGAUUUUAGAUAAAAUAUCCCAAUAUUCAAAUCA
This is an RNA transcript of Rosa chinensis, 1564 nucleotides long. RefSeq lists it as uncharacterized. The record is from RefSeq and is a predicted model, not a curated record. The transcript has 7 exons. NCBI's taxonomy places the organism in Eukaryota, Viridiplantae, Streptophyta, Magnoliopsida, Rosales, Rosaceae.